UUGCUUUGGCAGCUUAUAUACUAAAAAUUGGAAUGAUACAAAAAGAUCAGUAGCAUGGCCCUUGCUUAUAGUUGACAUGAAAAUUUGUGAAGUAUUCCAUAUUUAA
Molecule: small nuclear RNA, 106 nt
Organism: Sciurus vulgaris (Eurasian red squirrel)
Lineage: Eukaryota; Metazoa; Chordata; Mammalia; Rodentia; Sciuridae
Source: Ensembl